ACGCUCGACACCUACUGGAGGCAGCAGUGGGGAAUAUUGCACAAUGGGGGAAACCCUGAUGCAGCGACGCCGCGUGAGUGAAGAAGUAAUUCGUUAUGUAAAGCUCUAUCAGCAGGGAAGAAAGUGACGGUACCUGAGUAAGAAGCCCCGGCUAACUACGUGCCAACAGCCGCGGUAAUCUGAGCGGGCUGGCAAGGC
This 198-nucleotide ribosomal RNA is filed under the name uncultured bacterium. RNAcentral describes it as "partial 16S ribosomal RNA". It matches the Rfam family "Bacterial small subunit ribosomal RNA", at positions 328 to 539 of the family's 1533-position model. The record is from RNAcentral.